CUCAGUUCUCAUUCUUCUCCUUCCUGCCACCAUGUGAAGAAGGACGUGUUUGCUUCCCCUUCUACCAUUAUUGUAAGUUUCCUGAGGCUUCCCCAGCCCUGCAGAACUGUUCUUCUUCUGCUGUUACACAACGAAUCCUCUCAAUCCAACCUACUGGGUUCCACCCACACUCAUGCACCUCCUAUUGAAGACAAGUUGUGUGCUGUUAUGCUACUGUGACUUUCGGCAGGCCAUCCUUUUUAUCCCUCCCAGCCUUUUUCCUCUUGAGGAAUUACUAAUUAUCAUAAAAGUCAAUUGUCACCUGUCCUAGAAAGCCUUGUCCAACCACCCCAUAUGCUCUCCUCUACUAUUAUUACUUUGUGUUAGAUUUCUAUUAUAUCAGGCAUAAACACUACAUGAAUUAUUU
Molecule: long non-coding RNA, 406 nt
Filed under: Homo sapiens (human)
Lineage: Eukaryota; Metazoa; Chordata; Mammalia; Primates; Hominidae
Description: HSALNT0364554
Source: RNAcentral